This 478-nucleotide ribosomal RNA is filed under the name uncultured bacterium. RNAcentral describes it as "partial 16S ribosomal RNA". It matches the Rfam family "Bacterial small subunit ribosomal RNA", at positions 28 to 523 of the family's 1533-position model. The record is from RNAcentral.
GACGAACGCUGGCGGCGUGCUUAACACAUGCAAGUCGAACGGUAAGGCCCUUCGGGGUACACGAGUGGCGAACGGGUGAGUAACACGUGGGUGAUCUGCCCUGCACUUCGGGAUAAGCCUGGGAAACUGGGUCUAAUACCGGAUAGGGCCACUGCCCGCAUGGGUGGUGGUGGAAAGCUUUUGCGGUGUGGGAUGGGCCCGCGGCCUAUCAGCUUGUUGGUGGGGUGAUGGCCUACCAAGGCGACGACGGGUAGCCGGCCUGGGAGGGUGACCGGCCACACUGGGACUGAGAUACGGCCCAGACUCCUACGGGAGGCAGCAGUGGGGAAUAUUGCACAAUGGGCGCAAGCCUGAUGCAGCGACGCCGCGUGAGGGAUGACGGCCUUCGGGUUGUAAACCUCUUUCAGCACCGACGAAGCGCAAGUGACGGUAGGUGCAGAAGAAGGACCGGCCAACUACGUGCCAGCCGCCGCCGUAA